RNAcentral lists this ribosomal RNA (546 nucleotides) under Acinetobacter baumannii. RNAcentral's name for it is "partial 23S ribosomal RNA". It matches the Rfam family "Bacterial large subunit ribosomal RNA", at positions 455 to 1003 of the family's 2925-position model. Lineage: Bacteria; Pseudomonadati; Pseudomonadota; Gammaproteobacteria; Moraxellales; Moraxellaceae. The record is from RNAcentral.
AUCCUCCAAGGCUAAAUACUCCUGACUGACCGAUAGUGAACCAGUACCGUGAGGGAAAGGCGAAAAGAACCCCGGCGAGGGGAGUGAAAAAGAACCUGAAACCGUGUACGUACAAGCAGUGGGAGCACCUUCGGGUGUGACUGCGUACCUUUUGUAUAAUGGGUCAGCGACUUAUAUUCUGUAGCAAGGUUAACCGUAUAGGGGAGCCGCAGGGAAACCGAGUCUUAACUGGGCGUUAAGUUGCAGGGUAUAGACCCGAAACCCGGUGAUCUAGCCAUGGGCAGGUUGAAGGUUGGGUAACACUAACUGGAGGACCGAACCGACUAAUGUUGAAAAAUUAGCGGAUGACUUGUGGCUGGGGGUGAAAGGCCAAUCAAACCGGGAGAUAGCUGGUUCUCCCCGAAAGCUAUUUAGGUAGCGCCUCGUGAACUCAUCUUCGGGGGUAGAGCACUGUUUCGGCUAGGGGGUCAUCCCGACUUACCAACCCGAUGCAAACUACGAAUACCGAAGAAUGUUAUCACGGGAGACACACGGCGGGUGCUAACG